Molecule: non-coding RNA, 30 nt
Filed under: Mus musculus (house mouse)
Lineage: Eukaryota; Metazoa; Chordata; Mammalia; Rodentia; Muridae
Source: RNAcentral
UCCUUGGAGGACAUUUUUGAUGUUGUGCUA